This 408-nucleotide unclassified non-coding RNA is filed under the name Hevea brasiliensis (rubber tree). The record is from RNAcentral. Lineage: Eukaryota; Viridiplantae; Streptophyta; Magnoliopsida; Malpighiales; Euphorbiaceae.
GCUACCUGUAGUACAGGUACUUACAAUGAAAAGGAUUUUAAUGAUGUGGUUACUAGUAACAAACACGAUGAAUUUAUUGUAGAUAUAGAGGGAAGAGAAACUUCUAGAAUGAAAGAUGAUAUAAUCUGUCAAUCUGAUAAAACAAAUGGGGCAAGAAAAACAUGGAGUUCACCAAAUUUUGGUGCUUUGAAGAUCGUAAUUGCUGAUGAAAGUGAACAUCGAAAUGGAUCAAUUCCAAGAAUUGAGGUCACACCUAAAGAAAAAGGGUCCAAACAUCUCUUCUGGAAGCCAAGAUCUGGAGAAUAUUCUCGAGGAAAGGGAUCAUGUAAUAUGUUCAAUCAGCUUUUUGGUCAGGUUGGUGGGUUCCAAAGGCAAGCACCAUCUAACCUACAGUUCAGUUGUUCUGUU